GUGCCAGCCGCCGCGGUAAUACGUAGGGUGCAAGCGUUAUCCGGAAUUAUUGGGCGUAAAGGGCUCGUAGGCGGUUCGUCGCGUCCGGUGUGAAAGUCCAUCGCUUAACGGUGGAUCUGCGCCGGGUACGGGCGGGCUGGAGUGCGGUAGGGGAGACUGGAAUUCCCGGUGUAACGGUGGAAUGUGUAGAUAUCGGGAAGAACACCAAUGGCGAAGGCAGGUCUCUGGGCCGUUACUGACGCUGAGGAGCGAAAGCGUGGGGAGCGAACAGGAUUAGAUACCCUGGUAGUCCACGCCGUAAACGAUGGAUGCUGGAUGUGGGGCCCGUUCCACGGGUUCCGUGUCGGAGCUAACGCGUUAAGCAUCCCGCCUGGGGAGUACGGCCGCAAGGCUAAAACUUAAAUAAAUUGGCGG
RNAcentral lists this ribosomal RNA (414 nucleotides) under uncultured bacterium. RNAcentral's name for it is "bacterial SSU rRNA". It matches the Rfam family "Bacterial small subunit ribosomal RNA", at positions 505 to 916 of the family's 1533-position model. The record is from RNAcentral.